CGGACGGGUGAGUAACGCGUGAGAAUCUGCCCUUAGGACGGGGACACAGCUGGAAACGUCUGCUAAUACCCGAUGUGCCGAGAGGUGAAACAUUUUAUGGCCUGAGGAUGAGCUCGCGUCUGAUUAGCUAGUUGGUGGGGUAAGGGCCUACCAAGGCGACGAUCAGUAGCUGGUCUGAGAGGAUGAUCAGCCACACUGGGACUGAGACACGGCCCAGACUCCUACGGGAGGCAGCAGUGGGGAAUUUUCCGCAAUGGGCGCAAGCCUGACGGAGCAAGACCGCGUGCGGGAGGACGGCCUAUUGGUUGUAAACCGCUUUUGAUAGGGAAGAAGUUCUGACGGUACCUAUCGAAUCAGCAUCGGCUAACUCCGUGCCAGCAGCCGCGGUAAUACGGAGGAUGCAAGCGUUAUCCGGAAUUAUUGGGCGUAAAGCGUCCGUAGGUGGUUGUUCAAGUCU
This 457-nucleotide ribosomal RNA is filed under the name uncultured cyanobacterium. RNAcentral's name for it is "bacterial SSU rRNA". It matches the Rfam family "Bacterial small subunit ribosomal RNA", at positions 99 to 590 of the family's 1533-position model. Lineage: Bacteria; Bacillati; Cyanobacteriota. The record is from RNAcentral.